This 622-nucleotide ribosomal RNA is filed under the name uncultured fungus. RNAcentral's name for it is "eukaryotic LSU rRNA". It matches the Rfam family "Eukaryotic large subunit ribosomal RNA", at positions 24 to 664 of the family's 3401-position model. Lineage: Eukaryota; Fungi. The record is from RNAcentral.
CCCGCUGAACUUAAGCAUAUCAAUAAGCGGAGGAAAAGAAACCAACAGGGAUUGCCUCAGUAACGGCGAGUGAAGCGACAACAGCUCAAAUUUGAAAUCUGGCCUUCUGGUCCGAAUUGUAAUUUGUAGAGGAUGCUUCGGGCGUGGUUCAGUCUAAGUUCCUUGGAACAGGACGUCAUAGAGGGUGAGAAUCCCGUAUGCGACUGGGUGCCUAAGCCUAUGUGAAGCUCCUUCGACGAGUCGAGUUGUUUGGGAAUGCAGCUCAAAAUGGGUGGUAAAUUUCAUCUAAAGCUAAAUAUUGGCCAGAGACCGAUAGCGCACAAGUAGAGUGAUCGAAAGAUGAAAAGCACUUUGGAAAGAGAGUUAAACAGUACGUGAAAUUGUUGAAAGGGAAGCGUUUGCAACCAGACUUGUAUACAAUUGAUCAUCCGAUGUUCUCACCGGUGCACUCAAUCGUAUUCAGGCCAGCAUUGGUUUUGGUGGUUGGAUAAAGGCCUUGGGAAUGUAGCUUCCACUCGGGAGUGUUAUAGCCCUUGGUGCAAUGCAUCCUACUAGGACCGAGGACCGCGCUUUGGCUAGGAUGCUGGCGUAAUGGUUGUAAACGACCCGUCUUGAAACACGG